This 170-nucleotide ribosomal RNA is filed under the name Heliconia schumanniana. RNAcentral describes it as "5.8S ribosomal RNA". It matches the Rfam family "5.8S ribosomal RNA". Rfam says of the family: 5.8S ribosomal RNA (5.8S rRNA) is a component of the large subunit of the eukaryotic ribosome. It is transcribed by RNA polymerase I as part of the 45S precursor that also contains 18S and 28S rRNA. The record is from RNAcentral. Lineage: Eukaryota; Viridiplantae; Streptophyta; Magnoliopsida; Zingiberales; Heliconiaceae.
AACCGAACGACUCUCGGCAACGGAUAUCUCGGCUCUCGCAUCGAUGAAGAACGUAGCGAAAUGCGAUACCUGGUGUGAAUUGCAGAAUCCCGCGAACCAUCGAGUCUUUGAACGCAAGUUGCGCCCGAGGCCAUCCGGUCGAGGGCACGCCUGCCUGGGCGUCACGCCAU